GAUGAACGCUGGCGGCGUGCUUAACGCAUGCAAGUCGAACGAAGCAUUUGCGACAGAUUUUUUCGGAAUGAAGUUGCUUAUGACUGAGUGGCGGACGGGUGAGUAACGCGUGGGUAACCUGCCUUGUACUGGGGGAUAGCAGCUGGAAACGGCUGGUAAUACCGCAUAAGCGCACAAUGUUGCAUGACAUGGUGUGAAAAACUCCGGUGGUAUAAGAUGGACCCGCGUCUGAUUAGCUAGUUGGUGAGAUAACAGCCCACCAAGGCGACGAUCAGUAGCCGACCUGAGAGGGUGACCGGCCACAUUGGGACUGAGACACGGCCCAGACUCCUACGGGAAGCAGCAGUGGGGAAUAUUGCACAAUGGAGGAAACUCUGAUGCAGCGACGCCGCGUGAGUGAAGAAGUAAUUCGUUAUGUAAAGCUCUAUCAGCAGGGAAGAUAGUGACGGUACCUGACUAAGAAGCUCCGGCUAAAUACGUG
Molecule: ribosomal RNA, 481 nt
Filed under: uncultured bacterium
Lineage: Bacteria
Description: partial 16S ribosomal RNA
Rfam family: Bacterial small subunit ribosomal RNA
Source: RNAcentral